AUUGAACGCUGGCGGCAUGCCUUACACAUGCAAGUCGAACGGUAACAGGUCUUCGGAUGCUGACGAGUGGCGAACGGGUGAGUAAUACAUCGGAACGUGCCCGAUCGUGGGGGAUAACGAGGCGAAAGCUUUGCUAAUACCGCAUACGAUCUACGGAUGAAAGCGGGGGAUCUUCGGACCUCGCGCGGACGGAGCGGCCGAUGGCAGAUUAGGUAGUUGGUGGGAUAAAAGCUUACCAAGCCGACGAUCUGUAGCUGGUCUGAGAGGAUGAUCAGCCACACUGGGACUGAGACACGGCCCAGACUCCUACGGGAGGCAGCAGUGGGGAAUUUUGGAUAAUGGGCGAAAGCCUGAUCCAGCCAUGCCGCGUGCAGGAUGAAGGCCUUCGGGUUGUAAACUGCUUUUGUACGGAACGAAAAGCCUCUUUCUAAUAAAGAGAGGUCAUGACGGUACCGUAAGAAUAAGCACCGGCUAACUACGUG
Molecule: ribosomal RNA, 482 nt
Filed under: uncultured bacterium
Lineage: Bacteria
Description: partial 16S ribosomal RNA
Rfam family: Bacterial small subunit ribosomal RNA
Source: RNAcentral